RNAcentral lists this long non-coding RNA (247 nucleotides) under Lonchura striata (white-rumped munia). RNAcentral describes it as "domestica (Bengalese finch) lncRNA (ENSLSDG00000013669.1)". The record is from RNAcentral. Lineage: Eukaryota; Metazoa; Chordata; Aves; Passeriformes; Estrildidae.
UCCCAGUACAGUGCAGAUGAGAAAAGGAUGCAGGAAAUUCUCUUGUUUACACAUGUGUCUGUUACACUGAGAAGCAAGAGGAGCCCAGCAAACUCAGAAGCUGUUAAAAGUGGAACGAUCAGAAGGCUUCACUGAUCAGAAAACCCCCCAUUUUCAUCCAAUUCUGUACAGAGUUGGCAUCAUCUAUCCAUGCUGAAAAGGGCAGGCAAAUUUCAGCCUAUCAUAAAAUGAUUAUAAGCCUAAGAGA